UAUAUCACGUGUACUUUUAGCGCGCAUUUGAUAUUGACAGUAUCCACGAGAAAGUCGUUUGCUUGUUCUGAAUGUGCACGUAAAACCCUAUGACCUGACCUGAGAAAGUCGUGCUCACAUUUGCAAUGCGUCUUUGAAGUGUUCGGCUAAGUGGCCACUGCUCACACAUUAUUGUGCUCUUAAAAACCUUACAAGGAUUCAAGCUGCACAAUUUAACAUAAGUCCCAGAACAGCAGAGUUGUACGAGCAUUCCAAGACAGGAUGAAAAUAAAGCCAAUACCAAUGAGCCAUGUUGUGGUGGAAAGACCCACAGCAGAAGUCAGAAAACGAAAGCCUGUAUUGUGUCAGUUGGACACACAGAAGAAGAAAGAAGAGCAAUGACAAGAAUAACCCUGACUACAUUCCCUCUGUGAACUUGGGCUACAAGGACACUAAACCAAGUGGGGAUCUGUGACAUGCUAGACACUGUUGAUUAGAGGGCAGAGAAUCCGAAAAAGGCAAGAAACAAGCAGCUUAUGCAUUACUGGAUUUGUCAAACACAGAAAAUAUAUUUGAGACACAAGCUGAAGAAUUGCAGCCACAUGUCGACAUACACAGUGGCUGUAUUAAAAAAAUUGCUGCCCUGCGAAUAGAAAACCAGCAGCUAUAUGAAGAGAAUGCGAUUUUAAAACAGAAUGAAAGUUGAGGAGCAGGUGACAUCCAGUGAUCAAAGAAUUGUUUUAUACAGGUCUACAGUCAAAAGCUCUAUUUGUAUGGCUGCUGUCAUUUUGCUUAUUUUGCUUCCCGGCACUUCCAGCGUGCAAAGUUCUAAGCCCAACAUGUGUAAUGAUGUGUAUAAUAAUGAAACUUAGGUUGAAUCUCCAGCACCAGGACUUGGCGUAUAGGUUCAGUGUGUCUGUGACCACAAUAUCCGACAUUCUUAACCAGGGAUUGCCAAAAUUAGCAGAAAAACUUUCAUUUCUGAUUCAGUGGCCUGAUAAAGACAGUCUUGAUAAGAAACAUGCCUAAUGUUAUUAAAAUAACCUACCCAAAAUGUGUGAGCAUCAUUGAUUGUUUUGAAGUUUUUAUUCAGAGACCCGGUCAACUUACAGCUAGGGCUCAAACAUGGUCAAAUUAUAAACAUAACAACACCAUUAAAUUUCUUGUGUCUAUAACGGGGGCAAUUUCUUAUGUAUCACAGGCUUUUGUGGGUAGGACAUCGGAUAAAGUUAUUACUCAGAGAAGUGGUUAUUUGGAUAAAUUGUAAUAUGGGGAUCAAGUUUUAGCAGACAGAGGAUUUCUGAUAGCAGAAGAUUUAGCAAACCGUAAUGCAACACUAGUAAUACCAGCCUUCACUAGGGGAAAGUCACAACUUAGUGCCAGAGAGGUUGAGCAGACCAGAAAAAUAGCAAAUGUGCGGAUACAUGUGGAACGAGCCAUUGAAAGACUGAAAAACUAAUAUUUUGAGUAGCAGCAUUAGUUUACACAUGGUUCCACAUGCAGACAGCAUAGUCACAAUCUGUUCAGCAUUAUGUAAUUUACAACCAUAACCUUUUCUUAGGUUUUUACCUGUAUUAUGCUUUCAAAUGGUACACAUUGUAAUUCUUCUUUUUAGUUGCAUGAAAUGGGACUAAAUAAAUGUAACUUAAACAGAAAAAGAAUAUAUUGCAUUUUUUAAAAUAUAAAUUAAAUAAAUAGUUUGGCAUAUUUCAUUUGCUAUUGUUAUGAUUUAGUCACAGCUGGCACAAAACCAUUUUCCCCUGGGCUUUCUGUGAAUGUUCACACACUUGUAGUGGAACCACUGGUAGGGACAGUCGUCAUUGUCACAUUUAAUCAUCCUACCAUAUUCCAGUUCGGAACAGAUACACCAUGUCUGAUCACCAUUGUCAACUUGCUUAAUGCUUGAUGUAGAUACAGUCUGGUUUUCAAGUUCGCAAGUAACCAAUUCAUUUAUUAUGAAAUUCUUUACAAAUUGCUCACAUUUUGUAAUCAUGCUUUGACAGAAGUCUACAUCAAUGGAUAAUCUUACGAUGACCAUACUUGGAGCCGGUUUACACUUAAGGAAAAC
RNAcentral lists this long non-coding RNA (2047 nucleotides) under Gigantopelta aegis. Its description in RNAcentral is "uncharacterized LOC121373936, transcript variant X2". The record is from RNAcentral. Lineage: Eukaryota; Metazoa; Mollusca; Gastropoda; Neomphalida; Peltospiridae.